Molecule: ribosomal RNA, 253 nt
Filed under: uncultured bacterium
Lineage: Bacteria
Description: partial 16S ribosomal RNA
Rfam family: Bacterial small subunit ribosomal RNA
Source: RNAcentral
UACGUAGGGUGCAAGCGUUGUCCGGAAUUAUUGGGCGUAAAGAGCUCGUAGGCGGCUUGUCACGUCGGGUGUGAAAGCCCGGGGCUUAACCCCGGGUCUGCAUUCGAUACGGGCUAGCUAGAGUGUGGUAGGGGAGAUCGGAAUUCCUGGUGUAGCGGUGAAAUGCGCAGAUAUCAGGAGGAACACCGGUGGCGAAGGCGGGUCUCUGGGCCGAUACUGACGCUGAGGAGCGAAAGCGUGGGGAGCGAACAGG